This 292-nucleotide ribosomal RNA is filed under the name uncultured bacterium. RNAcentral's name for it is "partial 16S ribosomal RNA". It matches the Rfam family "Bacterial small subunit ribosomal RNA", at positions 505 to 796 of the family's 1533-position model. The record is from RNAcentral.
GUGCCAGCCGCCGCGGUAAUACAGAGGGUGCGAGCGUUAAUCGGAGUAACUGGGCGUAAAGGGCGCGUAGGCGGUGAUGUGAGUGUGAUGUGAAAGCCCCGGGCUUAACCUGGGAAGUGCAUCGCAAACGACAUGACUGGAGUAGAUGAGAGGGUGGCGGAAUUUCCGGUGUAGCGGUGAAAUGCGUAGAGAUCGGAAGGAACGUCGAUGGCGAAGGCAGCCACCUGGCAUCAUACUGACGCUGAGGCGCGAAAGCGUGGGGAGCGAACAGGAUUAGAUACCCCCGUAGUCC